Molecule: long non-coding RNA, 9811 nt
Filed under: Salmo salar (Atlantic salmon)
Lineage: Eukaryota; Metazoa; Chordata; Actinopteri; Salmoniformes; Salmonidae
Description: lncRNA (ENSSSAG00000103962.1)
Source: RNAcentral
UCCAACUUGAAAUCACAUGAAAGCCAGGGAGGGGGAAAUCAGACAAGUUUGGAGCAGACAUCUAUUUUUCUUGCUCAAGAUGGUGAGUUUGUGUGUAUCAUCGCACAAAUUGGCCCAGUUUUGUACAGCAUGCUCACCAAAAGGAAAACCUUCGAUGCAGGUAUAUUCUGCUCAUCUUAUCAGGGCCUUUCAUGAUGAAAGUGGUCUUUAAUCUCUCUUUUGAGUGGAGCGAUUUUAGCCGAAUUAUCAAAAUGGGAUCUUAUGGUUGUGCACAGAGACAGUGCCAACACUCAGCUGCACAAGGUGGAGAAGAAGAAAGCCAAACCGCUUCCAAGCAUCACAGCGUUUUCUCCUAAAACCCAUAAAGUGUAAAGCAAACGACCAUUUUUUUAUUAUAGUUGCAUAGAAGAUUUAGCUCACAUUUACCUCACAUCAAGAUAAAAAACUUUGGAAUUUUAACUGUAAAAUACACACACACGUGUACUAAAAGUUAGCGGAGACAUUUGAGCUGUUUCACUGUUCGCUCAGUUAGAGCUGGGGAGAGGAGGAGGGUGUCACUUCCUUCAGUUCAUAGCACUCUGAGAACAACUCAUGCGAUAGGGCUAUUAUCUGUAAUGAGUUAAAGUGACUGCUGGUAUUCAAAUGAUCACGUUGGUUGCUAAACUUACAAAUGUAAAUGUCUGAAAGUAGAUCUGUUAGAAUGUUUGAUCUUUCGGCUCUAAUUGCAUUUCAAACUGGAGAGGGAAAAUGUCAAAACCUUCCUCAUACUUCACAGUUGCAUAAUGUUUUUCAUGUGCACAAUUAGUCCUGGGUUCUAUUUUAGGGCUUGACAUCAUACUGUAUAUGCGGGUGGAGUGAUGAUGGGGUUACCAGUCAGUCUUUCAAUGGCUGGCUGGCGUAGGCCUGAGUGCUCAUCCCUGCUAAGACACACCACUGGGGAGAGAGAGAGAGAGGAAACCACAUGGUGAAGAGAGUGAUGAGCUGCCAGCUGAUCUGGUGGGAUUGAGAAGCACCAUGCAGUACAUAUGGAAGGGAGUGGAACAGGCCUGGGAUGGGGUGGAUCCAUGUCUGUCCUUAGGUCAGCUGGCCUAAUAGAUGAUAGAUGGUAAAAGCUGAUGACAUUCACUGGUCUGACUGACACCAUUAAUGCAGACCAGAGGCAGUGGGGUUCAAUAAGUGGGGGGAGUGUCUAUCCAUCUCUCAUCUCUUCAUGUCUCUCACUUUCCCUCUGUCCAUCUCUCCCUUUCUUUCACUUUCUCCUUCUCUCCAUCCAAUACUCUUGGUUCAUGUCAGCAGAGUGUCAUAACCAGACUGAAUUAGAGGUUUACUGUUUGUGCUCAUCCUAAUAUGGAGUUUCUCUCUGUCUCUUUGUGCCCUCGACCCCCAACAUGCCUACAAAUGACUGUCUGAGUGCUGUGCUCACGCACUGAGCCAGGCCUCAUCUGUCACCCUAGGGGCUCUGAGGGGCUCUCGGGACUGUGGGGCUUUGUCAGAAUUGAAUGAUUUAAUUUACCAUUUUUUCUUUGACAUACAUUUCUUUACCAUGAGCAGAUUCAAACAUAACACUGUUUGAGUGUAGUUCAUAGGACAUACAGGCUACACGAAUGCUGAUUUAUGGUGUAAAUACUUGAAUGAUUUAAUUCAUAGCAUUGGAGUUUCAGUGCAGUGUCACCUAUAUUUCAGUUGUUCCAGCACCUUUGUAUUUUGUGCUGUAAUAUUCUGUUUGAAUUAUCUUUGGCAACAGGGGUAAUAUCUUGUCAAUAAUUCCUCACAGAAAAAACACAACUCUGUCCAGAAAAGUCUCUCUCUAAUCAUUGUGGUUAUUGAUUUUGCCUUGUGCCAUUCCAGAGGAGCGCCAACAGAUAGUGAAGCAGAGACAGAGUAGCCAGCACUGCUGCUCAGGUAAAAAAAACUGCAAUCCAGCCAAUAUCCCAGGGUUCACCAAAGGACACAAUCAAAUGCCAUUGUCUCCUCGGUUUUCACAGCGAUAUUGUGCUCCUCUCCUGACAAUCCCCUUCCAAUAUGUUUCACUACAAAAUGGGGCACUGCCAAAGGUUCCAAUAUUGUAAUGCUUCUGCAGGGUUCUUUUUGUAUUUCAUACUCAGGGAGGUGUAGAGAAGUUCCAUCAGGGUUCAGAAUGGUCCUGUUGUGCUGUUAGAAUUUUACCCUUACAUCCUGGGUGAUUACUGUCUCUGACGAUGAGAGGACAAAUGUAUCUUUCUUUCUACCUGCAGGGCUGAAAUACCCUGUAGUUUAAAAGGCUAGUUCACACUAUUUUAUGGUAGACUGUCACCCAGCUAUUGUAUGCUAUGGGACAUUUCUGCAAGAGUGAUGCACUCUCUUUUCAUGUUGAUCGACCUAUCAGUCAUAGUAAUGCAUAAGCCGUCUGAGUUUGUGUACACUGUGGCGCUGUGUGUUAUAUGAUAAAUGAAUGUAAAGAUGCAAGACUAAACUCACACACACACACACACACACACACACACACACACACACACACACACACACACACACACACACACACACACACACACACACACACACACACACACACACACACACACAGACACAGACACACACACACACAGUGCAGUCUGUUUGAAUGUGCCUACACCACAAAGACAAGCUCUAUUAUAAUAGCUGUGCUAUUGAUUGUGCAUAACUCACUUUGUCUGAUUAUGAUUACAAUUGAAUGUUGACUUUCCCCAUGCAAUGAAUUCAUUGUAAUAAUGCCAGUCUUGUUGGCUUGUAUGAUCUAUGAUUCAUCAAUACUAUUGAUUCUCCCAAAGUUCAUCCAUCCAUAAGUGACUGGCAUAUCAAUGUUUUACAUAAAAAGAUUGAGUAGAGGCAAUCUGCAUGUCAGCAAAAUGUCUCUUCAAUUGAGCCUGGCCAAUGUUAUUGUCCCUUAAGGAAGUUGUGACUGUUUUGUAAACAGGACAGGGACACACGGCAGCAGUCACAUGGGACAUGGUUAACAUUACGAAGGACAAGCGCAUUGACAGAAAAUUGCUCUAAUGCUAGAAGUGCCACUCUGUUUCCAAUCCAAUGUACACGUGAUGUGAUGUGAUGCAUUGUCGUGCACAGCAGGUAACAGUGUGCUCUGCACGGCAAUACUUGUUCUAGUCUAUUCUCCCGAAGAACAGCUUACGAACAUAAAGUAAUGACAGGAGAAAAUGUGUUUGAUGGUUUCUGAACAAUAGAGGGUAUACAAUAAUAACAUUCCACACCAGCACUUCAGCACUGCUAGGGCUAAUUGGAGAGGCAUGAGAAUCUGUGAAUAAAAAGUCACAAUGUUCCGUCUGAUUUGGUGUGUGCGUGCGCUUGCAUCGGUGUGGGUGUGUAUCUGGACAUUGGGUGGUGGAUAGUGCUGUUGUGACAGUGGGCUGCCCUCAGAGGUCUGUGGAUAUCCAGUGUAAAUCCAGCCCAGGGGAGCUGUGAAAAAGCUAAUAAUACGUUAUUGCAGUAGAGGUCCUUCCUGUCGCCUCUCCAUCACCACACCAGUGCCACCCUACACAUGGACCACAGCGGGAUAAUGGCCAAUAAUGUGGAGCAGCAGAGAGUGAGAAGUCCAAUCACACUGGCCACUGAGUGGUGUGAGAGGGCCGGGGUCGAGAGAGAGAGAGAGAGAGGGCUGAGGUAAAGAGAGGACAGGGGUAGAGAGAGGACUAGGGUGGAGAGAGAGGGCUGAGGUAGAGAGAGAGAGGGCUGAGGUAGAGAGAGAGAGGGCUGGGGUAGAGAGAGAGAGGGCAGGGGUAGAGAGAGAUAGAGGGCUGGGGUAGAGAGAGAUAGAGGGCUGGGGUAGAGAGAGAGAGGGCUGGGGUAGAGAGAGGACCGGGGUAGAGAGAGAGAGGGCUGGGGUAGAGAGAGAAAGAGGGCUGAGGUAGAGAGAGGACCGGGGUAGAGAGAGGACUGGGGUAGAGAGAGAGAGGGCUGGGGUAGAAAGAGAUAGAGGGCUGGGGUAGAGAGAGAGAGGACUGGGGUAGAGAGAAGACUGGGGUAUGGAGAGAGAGAGAGCUGGGGUAGAGAGAGAGAGAGAGAGAGAGAGAGAGAGAGAGAGAGAGGGCUGGGGCAGAGAGAGGGAGGGCUGGGGUAGAGAGAGGGAGGGCUGGGGUAGAGAGGAAGAGAGAGAGAGAGAGAGAGAGAGAGAGAGAGAGGCAGAGAGAGGGGCAGAGAGAGGGAUGGCUGGGGUAGAGAGAGAAAGAGGGCUGAGGUAGAGAGAGGACCGGGGUAGAGAGAGGACUGGGGUAGAGAGAGAGAGAGAGAGAGAGAGAGAGAGAGAGAGAGAGAGGACUGAAGUAGAGAGAGAGGGGGCUGGGGUAUAAAGAGAGGGCUGGGGUAGAGAGAGAAGGAUGGGGUAUGAAGAGAGGGCUGGGGUAGAGGGAGAGAUAGGGAAUAGAGAGAGAGAGGGGGGAAUCAAAUCAAAUCAAAUGUAUUUAUAUAGCCCUUCUUAGAUCAGCUGAUAUCUCAAAGUGCUGUACAGAAACCCAGCCUAAAACCCCAAACAGCAAGCAAUGCAGGUGUAGAAGCACGGUGGCUAGGAAAAACUCCCUAGAAAGGCCAAAACCUAGGAAGAAACCUAGAGAGGAACCAGGCUUUGAAGGGUGGCCAGUCCUCUUCCGGCUGUGCCGGUGGAGAUUAUAACAGAACAUGGCCAAGAUGUUCAAAUGUUCAUAAAUGACCAGCAUGGUCAAAUAAUAAUAAUCGCAGUAGUUGUCGAGGGUGCAACAGGUCAGCACCUCAGGAGUAAAUGUCAGUUGGCUUUUCAUAGCCGAUCAUUGAGAGUAUCUCUACCACUCCUGCUGUCUCUAGAGAGUUGAAAACAGCAGGUCUGGGACAGGGAGCACAGGGUUCCAUAGCCGCAGGCAGAACAGUUGAAACUGGAGCAGCAGCAUGGCCAGGUGGACUGGGGACAGCAAGGAGUCAUCAUGCCAGGUAGUCCUGAGGCAUGGUCCUAGGGCUCAGGUCCUCUGAGAGAGAGAAAGAAAGAGAGAAAGUGAGAAUUAGAGAGAGCAUACUUAAAUUCACACAGGACACCGGAUAAGACAGGAGAAAUACUCCAGAUAUAACAGACUGACCCUAGCCCCCGACACAUAAACUACUGCAGCAUAAAUACUGGAGGCUGAGACAGGAGGGGUCAGGAGACACUGUGGUUCCAUCCGAUGAUACCCACGGACAGGGCCAAACAGGCAGAAUAUAACCCCACCCACUUUGCCAAAGCACAGCCCUCACACCACUAGAGGGAUAUCCUCAACCACCAACUUACCAUCCUGAGACAAGUCUGAGUAUAGCCCACAAAGAUCUCUGCCAUGGCACAACCCAAGGGGGGGGUGCCAACCCAGACAGGAAGACCACGUCAGUGACUCAACCCACUCAAGUGACGCACCCCUCCUAGGGACAGCAUGGAAGAGCACCAGUAAGCCAGUUACUCAGCCCCUGUAAUAGGGUUAGAGGCAGAGAAUCCCAGUGGAGAGAGGGGAACCGGCCAGGCAGAGACAGCAAGGGAGGUUCGUUGCUCCAGUGCCUUUCCAUUCAUCUUCACACUCCUGGGCCAGACUACACUCAAUCAUAGGACCGAUUGAAGAGAUGAUUCUUCAGUAAAGACUUAAAGGUUGAGACCGAGUCUGCGUUCCUCACAUGGGUAGGCAGACCAUUCCAUAAAAAUGGAGCUCUAUAGGAGAAAGCCCUGCCUCCAGCUGUUUGCUUAGAAAUUCUAGGGACAAUUAGGAGGCCUGCGUCUUGUGACCGUAGCGUACGUGUAGGUAUGUAUGGCAGGACCAAAUCGGAAAGAUAGGUAAGAGCAGGCCCAUGUAAUGCUUUGUAGGUUAGCAGUAAAAUCUUGAAAUCAGCCCUUGCCUUAACAGGAAGCCAGUGUAGGGAGGCUACCACUGGAGUAAUAUGAUCAAAUUUUUGGGUUCUAGUCAGGAUUGUAGCAGCCGUAUUUAGCACUAACUGAAGUUUGUUUAGUGCUUUAUCCGGGUAGCCGAAAAGUAGAGCAUUGCAGUAGUCUAACCUAGAAGUAACAAAAGCAUGGAUACAUUUGUCUGCAUCAUUUUUGGACAGAACAUUUCUGAUUUUUGCAAUGUUACGUAGAUGGAAAAAAGCUGUCCUUGAAACAGUCUUGAUAUGUUCGUCAAAAGAGAGAUCAGGGUCUAGAGUAACGCCGAGGUCCUUCACAGUUUUAUUUGAGACGACUGUACAACCAUCAAGAUUAAUUGUCAGAUUCAACAGAAGAUCUCUUUGUUUCUUGGGACCUAGAACAACAUCUCUGUUUUGUCCGAGUUUAAAAGUAGUUUGCAGUCAUCCACUUCCUUGUCUGAAACACAGGCUUCCAGCGAGGGCAAUUUUGGGGCUUCACCAUGUUUCACUGAAAUGUACAGCUGUGUGUCAUCCGCAUAGCAGUGAAAGCUAGCAUUAUGUUUUCGAAUGACAUCCCCAAGAGGUAAAAUAUAUAGUGAAAACAAUAGUGGUCCUAAAACAGAACCUUGAGGAACACCAAAAUUUACAGUUGAUUUGUCAGAGGACCAACCAUCCACAGAGACAAACUGAUGUCUUACAAUUACAGUACUAGUUUGACUUUUCAGCCAUUUAAAAAAAGAGGGUGAGGGGAAGGGGACUUAGUCCAGAGAGCCAGGCCAGAACUUGUCCGUGUAGACCAAUUUGGGUUUCCAAUCUCUCCAAAAGAAUGUGGUGAUCGAUGGUAUCAAAAGCAGCACUAAGGUCUAAGAGCACGAGGACAGAUGCAGAGCCUCGGUCUGACGCCAUUAAAAGGUAAUUUACCACCUUCACAAGUGUAGUCUCAGUGAUAUGAUGGGGUCUAAAACCAGACUGAAGCAUUUCGUAUACAUUGUUUGUCUUCAGGAAGGCAGUGAGUUGCUGCGCAACAGCUUUUUCUAAAAUUGUUGAGAGGAAUGGGAGAUUCGAUAUAGGCCGAUAGUUUUGUAUAUUAUCUGGGUCAAGGUUUGGCUUUUUCAAGAGAGGCUUUAUUACUGCCACUUUUAUUGAGUUUGGUACACAUCUGGUGGAUAGAGAGCCGUUUAUUGUGUUCAACAUAGGAGGGCCAAGCACAGGAAGCAGCUCUUUCAGUAGCUAAAUUGGAAUAGGGUCCAGUAUGCAGCUUGAAGGUUUAGAGGCCAUGAUUAUUUUCAUCAUUGUGUCAAGAGAUAUUGUGCUAAAACACUUGAGUGUCUCCCUUGAUCUUAGGUCCUGGCAGAGUUGUGCAGACUCAGGACAUCUGAGAUUUGGAGGAAUACGCAGAUUUAAAGAGGAGUCCGUAAUUAGUUUUCUAAUGAUCAUGAUCUUUUCCUCAAAGAAGUUCAUGAAUGUAUUACUGCUGAAGUGAAAGCCAUCCUCUCUUGGGGAAUGCUGCUUUUUAGUUAGCUUUGUGACAGUAUCAAAAAUUAAUUUUGGAUUGUUCUUAUUUUCCUCAAUUAAGUUGGAAAAAUAGGAUGAUCGAGCAGCAGUGAGGGCUCUUCGAUACUGCACGGUACUGUCUUUCCAAGCUAGUCGGAAGACUUCCAGUUUGGUGUGGAGCCAUUUCCGUUCCAAUUUUCUGGAAGCUUGCUUCAGAGCUCGGGUAUUUUCUGUAUACCAGGGAACUAGUUUCUUAUGAUAAAUGUUUUUAGUUUUUAGGGUAUUGCGCAAGGUUAAAUUGAGUUCCUCAGUUAGGUGGUUAACUGAUUUUUGUCCUCUGACGUCCUUGGGUAGGCAGAGGGAGUCUGAAAGGGCAUCAAGGAUUCUUUGGGUUGUCUGAGAAUUUAUAGAAUGACUUUUGAUGAUCCUUUGUUGGGGUCUGAGCAGAUUGUUUGUUAAGAUUGCAAAUAAAAUGGUGGUCCGAUAGUCCAGGAUUAUGAGGAAAAAUAUUAAGAUCCACAACAUUUAUUCCGUGGGACAAAACUAGGUCCAGAGUAUGACUGUGGCAGUGUGUAGGUCCGGAGACAUGUUGCACAAAACCCACUGAGUCGAUGAUGGCUCCGAAAGCCUUUUGGAGUGGGUCUGUGGACUUUUCCAUGUGAAUAUUAAAGUCACCAAGAAUUUGAAUAUUACCUGCUAUGAUUAGGCAUUCAGGGAACUCAGUGAGGAACGCUGUAUAUAGCCCAGGAGGCCUGUAAACAGUAGCUAUAAAAAGUGAUUGAGUGGGUUGCAUAGAUUUCAUGACUAGAAGCUCAAAAGACGAAAACAUCGGGGGGUUUUUGUACAUUUAAAUUUGCUAUCGUAAAUGUUAGCAACACCUCCGCCUUUGCGGAAUGCACGGGCGAUAUGGUCACUAGUGUAAUCAAGGAGGUGAGGCCUCAUUUAACACAGUAAAUUCAUCAGGCUUAAGCCAUGUUUCAGUCAUGCCAAUCACAUCAAGAUUAUGAUCAGUGAUUAGUUCAUUGACUAUAUUGGAAGUGAGGGAUCUAACAUUAAGUAGCCCUAUUUUGAGAUGUGAGGUAUCACAAUCUCUUUCAAUAAUGGCAGGAAUGGAGGAGGUCUUUAUUCUAGUGAGAUUGCUUAGGUGAACACCGCCAUGUUUAGUUUUGCCCAACCUAGGUCGAGGCACAGACACGGUCUCAAUGGGGAUAGCUGAGCUGACUACACUGACUGUGCUAGUAGCAGACUCCACUAAGCUGGCAGGCUGGCUAACAGCCUGCUGCCUGGCCUGCACCCUAUUUCAUUGUGGAGCUAGUGGAGUUAGAGCCCUGUCUAUGUUCGUAGAUAAGAUGAGAGCACCUCUCCAGCUAGGAUGGAGUCCGUCACUCCUCAACAGGCCAGGCUUGGUCCUGUUUGUGGGUGAGUCCCAGAAAGAGGGCCAAUUAUCUACAAAUUCUAUCUUUUGGGGAGGGGCAGAAAACAGUUUUCAACCAGCGAUUGAGUUGUGAGACGCUGCUGUAGAGCUCAUCACUCCCCCUAACUGGGAGGGGGCCAGAGACAAUUACUCGAUGGCGACACAUCUUUCUAGUUGAUUUACACGCUGAAGCUAUGUUGCGCUUGGUGACCUCUGACUGUUUCAUCCUAACAUCGUUGGUGCCGACGUGGAUAACAAUAUCCCUAUACUCUCUACACUCGCCAGUUUUAGCUUUAGCCAGCACCAUCUUCAGAUUAGCAUUAAUGUCGGUAGCCCUGCCCCCUGGUAAACAGUGUAUGAUCGCUGGAUGAUUCGUUUUAAAUCUAAUACUGCGGGUAAUGGAGUCGCCAAUGACUAGGGUUUUCAAUUUGUUAGAGCUAAUGGUGGGAGGCUUCGGCGUCUCAGACCCCGUAACGGGAGGAGUAGAGACCAGAGAAGGCUUGGCCUCUGACUCCGACUCACUGCUUAAUAGUGAGAACCAGUUGAAAGUUUCUGUCGGCUGAAUGAGCGACACCGGUUGAGCAUUCCUACAGCAUUUCCCUGCAGAAGCCAUGAGAAAGUUGUCCAGCUGCGGGGACUGUGCGAGGGGAUUUAUACUACUAUCUGUACUUACUGGUGGCACAGAUGCUGUUUCAUCCUUUCCUACACUGAAAUUACCCUUGCCUAACGAUUGCGUCUGAAGCUGGGCUUGCAGCACAGCUAUUCUCGCCGUAAGGCGAUCGUUCUCCUGUAUAUUAUGAGUACAGCGACUGCAAUUAGAAGGCAUCAUGUUAAUGUUACUACUUAGCUUUGGCUGGUGGAGGUCCUGACGAACCAUGUCCAGAUAAAGCGUCUGGAGUGAAAAAGUUGAAUGAAAAAAAGUUGAGUGAGGGAAAAACUAAAAAUAUAAACGGUAAUUAAAAAGUAAAAACCGCAAAGUAAGGUUAGCAACAAAACGCACAGCAGCACGUAAACAAGUCUGCAAGUUGUGACCGGAAGUAGAGAGAGGGA